GGAUUCCCCUAGUAACUGCGAGUGAAGCGGGAAAAGCUCAAAUUUAAAAUCUGAAGGUCAUUGUGGCUUUCCGAGUUGUAAUCUAGAGAAGUGUUAUCCGCGCUGGACCGUGUACAAGUCUCCUGGAACGGAGCAUCAUAGAGGGUGAGAAUCCUGUCUUUGACACGGACUACCAGGGCUUAUGUGAUGUGCUCUCAAAGAGUCGAGUUGUUUGGGAAUGCAGCUCUAAAUGGGUGGUAAAUUCCAUCUAAAGCUAAAUAUUGGCGAGAGACCGAUAGCGAACAAGUACCGUGAGGGAAAGAUGAAAAGAACUUUGGAAAGAGAGUUAAACAGUACGUGAAAUUGUUGAAAGGGAAACGCUUGAAGUCAGUCUCAUUGGCCAGAGAUCAACCAUGCUUUUUUGCUUGGCGUACUUUCUGGUUUAAUGGGUCAGCAUCAAUUUUGACUGGUGGAUAAAGAUUAGGGGAAUGUGGUAUCUUCGGAUGUGUUAUAGCUCCUGGUCACAUACAUCGGUCGGGAUUGAGGAACUCAGCAUGCCGCAAGGCCGGGUUUUUAAACCACGUACAUGCUUAGGAUGCUGGCAAAAUGGCUUUAAUCGACCCGUCUUGAAACACGGACCAAGGAGUCUAACAUGCACGCGAGUGUUUGGGUGGAAAACCCGAGCGCGUAAUGAAAGUGAAAAUUGAGAUCCCUGUCGUGGGGAGCAUCAAUGCCCGGACUAGACCUUUUGUGACGGUUCCGCGGUUGAGCGUGUAUGCUGGGACCCGAAAGAUGGUGAACUAUGCCUGAAUAGGGUGAAGCCAGAGGAAACUCUGGUGGAGGCUCGUAGCGAUUCUGACGUGCAAAUCGAUCGUCAAAUUUGGGUAUAGGGGCGAAAGACUAAUCGAACCAUCUAGUAGCUGGUUCCUGCCGA
RNAcentral lists this ribosomal RNA (913 nucleotides) under Tricholoma vernaticum. Its description in RNAcentral is "partial large subunit ribosomal RNA". It matches the Rfam family "Eukaryotic large subunit ribosomal RNA", at positions 72 to 964 of the family's 3401-position model. The record is from RNAcentral. Lineage: Eukaryota; Fungi; Basidiomycota; Agaricomycetes; Agaricales; Tricholomataceae.